This is a long non-coding RNA of Glycine soja, 383 nucleotides long. RefSeq lists it as uncharacterized. The transcript is spliced from 3 exons. NCBI's taxonomy places the organism in Eukaryota, Viridiplantae, Streptophyta, Magnoliopsida, Fabales, Fabaceae. The record is from RefSeq and is a predicted model, not a curated record.
UGGAUGUCUUACGAUUGAAUUUCAUUGUGACACACAAUAUGUUAUGCUUAAUUUUGGACACCUUGUGGAUUUUGCAUUAAUUUGUUGGAUGUUUUGUGCAGUCUGGAUGCUGUAAACCUGCAGAAGAAUGCCAGUUUAGCUAUGUGAAUCCAACGACAUGGACGAAGCCCACAAAUGUGACUAAUCAGAGCAAUCCAAUUGACUCUUGAAUUUGAUAUUGAGUAUUGAGGACCAUUACAGCAAGUGAGGGAUCAUCACCAGGAAACAGCUCUCAUUGGUCAUUCGAAUGACGACACCUCCUCCAUCUCCCACACAGUCCGAGAUUCCUUCUGAUGGGACGUCUAGGAAAACUAGACAAGCCACUCGGCUAAGAAGAUUGACAG